GUGUCAGCCGCCGCGGUAAUACGGAGGGUGCAAGCGUUGUUCGGAAUUAUUGGGCGUAAAGCGCGUGUAGGCGGUCUUUUAAGUCUGAUGUGAAAGCCCCGGGCUCAACCUGGGAAGUGCAUUGGAAACUGGGAGGCUUGAGUACGGGAGAGGAGAGUGGAAUUCCUAGUGUAGGAGUGAAAUCCGUAGAUAUUAGGAGGAACACCGGUGGCGAAGGCGGCUCUCUGGACCGAUACUGACGCUGAGACGCGAAAGCGUGGGUAGCAAACAGGAUUAGAUACCCUGGUAGUCCACGCCGUAAACGAUGAGUACUAGGUGUUGCGGGUAUUGACCCCUGCAGUGCCGUAGCUAACGCAUUAAGUACUCCGCCUGGGAAGUACGGUCGCAAGACUAAAACUCAAAGAAAUUGACGG
This 413-nucleotide ribosomal RNA is filed under the name uncultured bacterium. Its description in RNAcentral is "bacterial SSU rRNA". It matches the Rfam family "Bacterial small subunit ribosomal RNA", at positions 505 to 916 of the family's 1533-position model. The record is from RNAcentral.